CUAAAGUAAAACAUUCCUGAUUGCUUAAUAUUUAUCUCGAGUAAAUUGGCCUCUGGUGCCAGAGAAAACAGUCUUUGGGUUCAGCAGGUCCCGAGGCAAAGAAACUUUAUUACGUUUUGGGCAGUAUCUAUCAAACACUGCCAGGUGCAGUGCUAUAUGCCUAACCUGAAUCUUCCCGGCAGAUGGGGGCCUAAACUCGAAAGCAUGCAGCUGAGGAUGAAGGCCAUGAUAGUCUGUUUUUCAUCAAAGGCUUGAGAUCACAGCAGCAGCAUGGAGCUGGAAGAACAAAAGAAGUUUGGGGCUCUGAAACAAACUGGGAGGGUAAGACAAAAGUGCAGCUGAAGAACUUGGAGAGCCGCUUGAGAAGGAGGAAAAGAUCAGGGAAGGAGGAAGUACACGUCCCCAUGCAGGGGAUGUGGAGUUGCACUCUCAUCUUGUGUGCUGCAGGAAGAGCAUCCAGCUCCAAAGCUUAUACACCAUGGGCAAGACGAAGGAAAAUUCCAGUUCUGAAUUUGCAGCCAGAAUUCAGGAACCAGAGGAAGGCGCUCAGGAGGUCAUACCUUUCAGAAGAGGUGCUCCAGCCCUUAUGGUCACGUUGAUGAGGUGCUGAUGGAGAGGUGGCCAUGUCACACUGCUGCCUGGGCCAGGAGCAUCCUACAGGUUUACACCAAUGCAAAUUGCUCAUCUAGGACGGGUGUUUGGUUUUUGUUUUUUUCUGUGGAAAAACUGUGGAAAGUCAUAAAGCUACAGGAUAAACCAGCAGGCUUGCAUGAUUAUGGCAGCACCUGCUCUGUCCAGGCUGGCACAGAGGCACCCGGAGGAGCAGCAUCCCCUCACACCUCAUUUCUUCAGAAACGGGGUGAGCGUGGAAGAGAAGGGGACACCAUGGUGGCAGUGCAGAGCCAGGGCAGAGAACGUUUGCUGAUGCGUUUGUGCAGGAGAAUAUCGGUCUGUUUGGUCAAAUGGGCUUCUGCUGUACAUACAGUGCUGAUGGUGUCCUAAUGGAUGAAGUGGAAAAAUAUUCUUAAAGGGGUACUUUGGCAGACGCAGCCAUUUGGAGUACGGCCUCUCAUGGCUGCAGGCUUGCUGCAAGGUUUGCCUUUCUUUUAAUGAUAAUUCUGUAACAAGAUAUGAAGCUGACGUUUGUUUUACACUUUAUGUAAGUAUUUAAAAGAUCUGAGACCUAUUUUUGCUACGUAUA
RNAcentral lists this long non-coding RNA (1201 nucleotides) under Gallus gallus (chicken). RNAcentral describes it as "long non-coding RNA NONGGAT006911". The record is from RNAcentral. Lineage: Eukaryota; Metazoa; Chordata; Aves; Galliformes; Phasianidae.